GCAGAACGCGAAGAACCUUACCAAGGCUUGACAUAUACCGUUUAUCCCUAGAGAUAGGGAGUCCUUCGGGGCGGUAUACAGGUGGUGCAGGGUUGUCGUCAGCUCGUGUCGUGAGAUGUUGGGUUAAGUCCCGCAACGAGCGCAACCCUCGUUCUAUGUUGCCAGCACGUAAUGGUGGGGACUCAUAGGAGACUGCCGGGGUCAACUCGGAGGAAGGUGGGGAUGACGUCAAAUCAUCAUGCCCCUUAUGUCUUGGGCUUCACGCAUGCUACAAUGGCCGGUACAAAGGGCUGCAAUACCGUAAGGUGGAGCGAAUCCCAAAAAGCCGGUCUCAGUUCGGAUUGAGGUCUGCAACUCGACCUCAUGAAGUCGGAGUCGCUAGUAAUCGCAGAUCAGCAACGCUGCGGUGAAUACGUUCCCGGGUCUUGUACACACCG
This 437-nucleotide ribosomal RNA is filed under the name uncultured bacterium. RNAcentral describes it as "bacterial SSU rRNA". It matches the Rfam family "Bacterial small subunit ribosomal RNA", at positions 954 to 1392 of the family's 1533-position model. The record is from RNAcentral.